AGUGAACGCUGGCGGUAGGCCUAACACAUGCAAGUCGAACGGCAGCACAGUAAGAGCUUGCUCUUACGGGUGGCGAGUGGCGGACGGGUGAGGAAUACAUCGGAAUCUACUUUUUCGUGGGGGAUAACGUAGGGAAACUUACGCUAAUACCGCAUACGACCUACGGGUGAAAGCAGGGGAUCUUCGGACCUUGCGCGAUUGAAUGAGCCGAUGUCGGAUUAGCUAGUUGGCGGGGUAAAGGCCCACCAAGGCGACGAUCCGUAGCUGGUCUGAGAGGAUGAUCAGCCACACUGGAACUGAGACACGGUCCAGACUCCUGCGGGAGGCAGCAGUGGGGAAGAUUGGACAAUGGGCGCAAGCCUGAUCCAGCCAUACCGCGUGGGUGAAGAAGGCCUUCGGGUUGUAAAGCCCUUUUGUUGGGAAAGAAAAGCAGCAGGUUAAUACCCCGCUGUUCUGACGGUACCCAAAGAAUAAGCACCGGCUAACUUCGUGC
RNAcentral lists this ribosomal RNA (493 nucleotides) under uncultured bacterium. RNAcentral describes it as "partial 16S ribosomal RNA". It matches the Rfam family "Bacterial small subunit ribosomal RNA", at positions 29 to 508 of the family's 1533-position model. The record is from RNAcentral.